GGCCACACAACUGUUGAUGGGAAGAGGUGGGAUUUGAAUCCAGGCUGUGUGCUUCCAAACUCUGAAUUCUAAACUAGGAGAGACAGCUCACAUUUGCACUUCUGCUUUGUCCUCUUCAAUCCAAGAGACAGCGGUGAAAAUCCUAAAACCCUGAAGAACAGUAAUUGCAGUGAGACCCAAGUUCUCAGCUGGUUACAGAUACAGAUUCAGCUGCUGCAAGGAAA
RNAcentral lists this long non-coding RNA (224 nucleotides) under Chinchilla lanigera (long-tailed chinchilla). RNAcentral's name for it is "lncRNA (ENSCLAG00000023578.1)". The record is from RNAcentral. Lineage: Eukaryota; Metazoa; Chordata; Mammalia; Rodentia; Chinchillidae.